GAUGAAGAACGCAGCGAAAUGCGAUACGUAAUGUGAAUUGCAGAUUUCAGUGAAUCAUCGAAUCUUUGAACGCACAUUGCGCCCGCCAGUAUUCUGGCGGGCAUGCCUGUUCGAGCGUCAUUUCAACCAUCAAGCGCCUCGCUUGUGUUGGGGCCCUGCGGCUGCCGCAGGCCCCUAAACCCAGUGGCGGGCUCGUCGUCGUACCGAGUGCAGUAAACAUCCUCGCUCAGGGAACCCGACGGGUGCCGGCCGUGAAACCCCCCCUCCUCAAGGUUGACCUCGGAUCAGGUAGGAAUACCCGCUGAACUUAAGCAUAUCAAUAAGCGGAGGA
This 331-nucleotide unclassified non-coding RNA is filed under the name soil metagenome. RNAcentral's name for it is "partial contains 5.8S ribosomal RNA, internal transcribed spacer 2, and large subunit ribosomal RNA". The stretch from base 1 to 120 matches the Rfam family "5.8S ribosomal RNA", at positions 35 to 154 of the family's 154-position model. The record is from RNAcentral.